UAAAUAAGUAAAAGAACAAAAUUAAAUGAUUUUUUAAAAAACAAAAAGGAAUAAAAUAAAAUAAACAAAAAAAAAAUAUGAAAGGGUGAAGGCGUUGCAGCCUUCACCCGAAACCAGUUGUAAAAAGAAAAAAAAAAAACAAGAGAAGCCACCCACUCAAAUUCCGUUGAAUAAACCCAGUUUCUGGCGAGAUUUUCGGGCAGCAAGGGUGCUACCUACACCCAUACUUCAUUUGCCUACAAAGAGAAGAGAUUAAGAUUUGAACUUGAAUUGAAGAGGUGGGGUUGACAAGAAGGGAUUGGAUUGGAGAUUGAAGAGUUGAGCAAGGUUGAUUAAACUUGGAGGAGUUGGUGAUGUUUUGCUCAAACGAGGUGAUAUAGGUACUAGAGCCAGUGCUCCGACUACGGAUCAGUGGGGAAAGCGUGAUGCGGAUGACCUGGACUUGUGAUGGUGAACAGGUUGAGGAGUAGUUGUCGAACGUGUGAUCUGGGUGUAGUCCAUUUUACUCUAUUUGCACUUUGAAUUUCUAGUAGAACUGACUUGUUUACUAAGAUAUUGAUUAAUUCCGUUCUUAAACAUAUUAUGAUGCUUGGCAUGGUAUUCUUGGAUAUGUUUAAGGAUUAUGUCCCUUGCUCUUUGGGCGUUUAGACACUG
Tripterygium wilfordii is the source of this 654-nucleotide long non-coding RNA. RefSeq lists it as uncharacterized. The transcript is spliced from 5 exons. NCBI's taxonomy places the organism in Eukaryota, Viridiplantae, Streptophyta, Magnoliopsida, Celastrales, Celastraceae. The record is from RefSeq and is a predicted model, not a curated record.